AACAUUUGUCUCUGAUUUUAGCCUUCUUUUUACUCCAUAGACAACAGUACUAGCUUGCUCAUUCUUCAUCAGACUUGGGAACUCAGUUACCAUUUUUUUACUCAUGGUGUCUGUCACAACUUAGACAACAUCUUCCUUAAUUUUAAUGACAUCUUUGAUAAUAGGAUUACUCCGUCCAAGUUGAGUGCAACUGCUUCCUCGAGAAUCACCUGAGUAACUCUUCAUUUUCUCGUCUUGAAAAUCAGUCAUUUGAUCGCCA
RNAcentral lists this long non-coding RNA (259 nucleotides) under Lathyrus oleraceus (garden pea). Its description in RNAcentral is "Pisum sativum (pea) long non-coding RNA (PSAT_LNC001777)". The record is from RNAcentral. Lineage: Eukaryota; Viridiplantae; Streptophyta; Magnoliopsida; Fabales; Fabaceae.